RNAcentral lists this ribosomal RNA (769 nucleotides) under uncultured bacterium. Its description in RNAcentral is "bacterial SSU rRNA". It matches the Rfam family "Bacterial small subunit ribosomal RNA", at positions 59 to 839 of the family's 1533-position model. The record is from RNAcentral.
CAGUCGAACGGACUUACAUUGAAGCCUAGCGAUAUGUAAGUUAGUGGCGGACGGGUGAGUAACGCGUGGGUAACCUGCCUUGUACUGGGGGACAACAGUUGGAAACGACUGCUAAUACCGCAUAAGCGCACAGCUUCGCAUGAAGCAGUGUGAAAAACUCCGGUGGUACAAGAUGGACCCGCGUCUGAUUAGCUGGUUGGUGAGGUAACGGCCCACCAAGGCGACGAUCAGUAGCCGGCCUGAGAGGGUGAACGGCCACAUUGGGACUGAGACGCGGCCCAAACUCCUACGGGAGGCAGCAGUGGGGAAUAUUGCACAAUGGGGGAAACCCUGAUGCAGCAACGCCGCGUGAGUGAAGAAGUAUUUCGGUAUGUAAAGCUCUAUCAGCAGGAAAGAAAAUGACGGUACCUGACUAAGAAGCCCCGGCUAACUACGUGCCAGCAGCCGCGGUAAUACGUAGGGGGCAAGCGUUAUCCGGAUUUACUGGGUGUAAAGGGAGCGUAGACGGUUUUGCAAGUCUGAAGUGAAAGCCCGGGGCUUAACCCCGGGACUGCUUUGGAAACUGUAGAACUAGAGUGCAGGAGAGGUAAGUGGAAUUCCUAGUGUAGCGGUGAAAUGCGUAGAUAUUAGGAGGAACACCAGUGGCGAAGGCGGCUUACUGGACUGUAACUGACGUUGAGGCUCGAAAGCGUGGGGAGCAAACAGGAUUAGAUACCCUGGUAGUCCACGCCGUANACGAUGAUUACUAGGUGUUGGUGGGNAUGACCCA